RNAcentral lists this long non-coding RNA (554 nucleotides) under Homo sapiens (human). RNAcentral's name for it is "novel transcript, antisense to ornithine decarboxylase antizyme 2 OAZ2". Lineage: Eukaryota; Metazoa; Chordata; Mammalia; Primates; Hominidae. The record is from RNAcentral.
GAGGUUCCUGCAGGGGCAUAAGGAGGGCUGGACCACGGGAGAAAGCUGGUUUGCUUCUAUUGGUCAGUGGAGCUACCCAAAGAUGGGGCAAACCCCUCUGGGAUAGACAGAUUAUCAUCUUGUAUACAGAGAAUUAAUUAGGUUCACAAAAUAACCCUAUCAAUCACCAAGCCCUUGCAAUUCUAGAAUUCUGGUGCCAGGCUCCUACUUCCAAAGGAAUUAUUCCUCAAAUGGUCUUUAGAUGAGCGAGCUGCAUUCAACCUCUGCCCUGCAUCCCAACUACCAUCUUGAUUCUUAGCUAAUUUUUACUUGCAAACAGCAGAAGCAAUGGGCCAACUCACUGAAAAGACAAGAAUAAAGUGAGGAUUUUUUUUUAGACCAUAAUACCCUUUGUCUUCCUAGAAGUAAUCCCUGGAGCCUGCCUGCCCUGUGUCCAGCACUAAUCUAUGAGCUUGUGAUAUUUCUUUCUUUAAGCUAGUCAUAUUUAGCAGUGGGGCUUGUGAUAUUUCUGGUUUCCUGAUCUCUCUCCUCUUCAAAUAAACGCAAGAUAUCUA